UGCCAGCAGCCGCGGUAAUACGGAGGGGGUUAGCGUUGUUCGGAAUUACUGGGCGUAAAGCGCGCGUAGGCGGGCUGUUAAGUUAGGGGUGAAAUCCCAGGGCUCAACCCUGGAACUGCCCUUAAUACUGGCAACCUAGAGUUCGAGAGAGGUGAGUGGAAUUCCGAGUGUAGAGGUGAAAUUCGUAGAUAUUCGGAGGAACACCAGUGGCGAAGGCGGCUCACUGGCUCGAUACUGACGCUGAGGUGCGAAAGCGUGGGGAGCAAACAGGAUUAGAUA
Molecule: ribosomal RNA, 279 nt
Filed under: uncultured bacterium
Lineage: Bacteria
Description: partial 16S ribosomal RNA
Rfam family: Bacterial small subunit ribosomal RNA
Source: RNAcentral